CAUCACCAAACUGGCCAUCUUAGUGGAGAUCCACCAGUGUCUUUCUGAGAUCUCUGACCUGGGGUUUCCUGAAGUGCAUCAACAAGAGAACCAUGGUUACUAUGACAACGUCACCAUCAUCGAGUCCAGCAAAGAUCCAUGUGUUUUGGUGAACAUCGCUUUAGAUCCAGCUGAGUGCUUCUGAUUUGACCAGGAAGCAUCAGUCCUGAAGAGUUAAAAAUUUCCACCCAGACUUCCUGAGCCCUAGCAUGAAGCAAGCAACAUUUUAAAACAAUACAUACUGAUAUCUCUCCAAGUUUGCAUUGGUUUCCUCCCGGUGCUCUGGUUUCCGCCCACAGUCAAUAUCCUCCAAUGUGUUUCACAUGAACUGCUGACCACAAGUUGCCUGGAGUGUGAGUGA
This 400-nucleotide long non-coding RNA is filed under the name Scleropages formosus (Asian bonytongue). Its description in RNAcentral is "lncRNA (ENSSFOG00015027629.1)". Lineage: Eukaryota; Metazoa; Chordata; Actinopteri; Osteoglossiformes; Osteoglossidae. The record is from RNAcentral.